Molecule: ribosomal RNA, 253 nt
Filed under: uncultured bacterium
Lineage: Bacteria
Description: partial 16S ribosomal RNA
Rfam family: Bacterial small subunit ribosomal RNA
Source: RNAcentral
UACGUAGGGUGCAAGCGUUGUCCGGAAUUAUUGGGCGUAAAGAGCUCGUAGGCGGUUUGUCGCGUCUGCUGUGAAAACUCGGGGCUCAACUCCGAGCUUGCAGUGGGUACGGGCAGGCUGGAGUUCGGUAGGGGAGACUGGAAUUCCUGGUGUAGCGGUGAAAUGCGCAGAUAUCAGGAGGAACACCGGUGGCGAAGGCGGGUCUCUGGGCCGAUACUGACGCUGAGGAGCGAAAGCGUGGGGAGCGAACAGG